AGUCACCAGACCUUUGAACAUUAUAGAUCUCACUCCUGUGAUUAGGUCACGUCACAUGGCACAGUUGCCUUAACAAAGAGAGCUUAGCCAAUGGGCAUGCCAUAAAUCCUUUAAAUCUGGGAGUAGAGGUCGGAGGCGUCAGGGAUUAGGAGCUCAAGAAAGAUUCAGACCAGGAACAGUGGGACUUACCUGUAGUCCCAGCACUUUGAGAAGCAGGCAGAUUGCUUGAGCCCAGGAGUUUGAGACCCACCUGGACAAUAUAGUGAAAUCCCAUCUCUACAAAAUAUACAAAAGUUAGCCGGAUGUGGUGUCACGUGUCAGUGGUCCCAGACACUGAGGAGGCGGAAGUGGGAGGAUCACUUGAGCUCGAGAGGUUGAGGCUGCAGUGAGCUGUGAUAGCACCACUGAACUGCAGCCUGGGUAGCAGAGUGAGACACUGUCUCACAAAAGACAAAGAAGGUUUCAGGGCACGAUGUUGGGUUGAGCAUGGAGGGGGCAUCUGGCAAGGAAUGGGGACAUCCUCUAGGAGCUGACGGCAGCGCCAGCUGAUAGCCAGCAAGGAAACAAACACCUCAGAUCUAUAGCCACAAGAAGCUGAAUGCCACCACCCAUAACAAUGAAUGUGAAAGAAGACUUUUCUCCCAGAUCCUCUAGGCAAGAACAUAGUUCAACUGACACUUCGAUUUCAGCCUUAUGAUACCCUAAGUACAGAAUCCAGUCAUUUCAUACCAGAUUUCUAACCUACAAAACUCUGAGUUCAUAAAUGGAUGGCAUUGGAAGCCACUCACUAAGUGUAUGGUAAUUUGCUAGACAGAAAUAGCAACAACAGGAAACUAACACAAACACCUGUCUUUUAAAUAACUGUGUUCAUUUUACUAUAAAACAACUUUUUUAGAAUGUCUCUCUCUCUUUUUUUUUUAAAGAAAGUCUCUAUUUCGUGAUGCCUUGACUAGCCCAGAGAAGAAGAUUAAAAAAGUGGUCUUGGUGCAAGGGUGGAAGUAUGGGUUGCCACUUCAAGUCAUGUCAUUAGAUGGGGGUGUUAGCAGAGGCAAAUCAAGAUAGUCAUGAUUGCCUUGCAAAUGUUUGAACUGAUUCAGACAAAUGUUAAAAUCUGCCACAUCUAUUCCAGUAAAAAUGGUAGAAAAAAAACCUGCCACAGCAUCCAAUAAGCGUGGGAAAAGAUGCUCAACAUCAUUAGCAUCAGGGAAAUGCAAAUCAAAACCACAAUGAGAUACUGCUUCACACCCACUGCGAUGACUGUAGUCCAAAAGUCAGAUAAUAACAAGUGUUGGUAAAAAUGUGGAGAAAUGGAAACCCUCAUACAGUUGUCCCCUCCUAUCCUUGGGACUUGGUUCCAGGACCCCCUGAGGAUACCGGAAUCUGUAGAUGCUCAAGUCCUGUAUAUAAAAUGGCACAACAUUCGCAUAUAACUUAUACACUUCAUCCUGUACACCUUAAAUCAUCUCUAGAUUACUUACAAUAUCUAAUACAAUGUAAACGCUAUGUAAACGAUUGUCAUAAUUUCCUUUUUAUCUUUUUUUAGUGUAUUGUUAUUUUUAUUCGUUUAUGUUUCAAUCUGCAGUCGGCUGAAUCCUUGGAUGCAGAACUCAAUGAUAUGGAGACUAAUUGUACGUUGUUGGUGAAAUGUAAAAUGGUGCAGCUGCUAUGGGAGAGACUGAACGUCCCUCUGAUGGUUAAAAACAGAGUAAACACAUGACCCAGGAAUUCCACUCUUAGGUAUUUACCUAAGUGACAUGAAACACAAGUCCACACCAAAACUUGGACUAGAAUGUUCAUAGCAGCAUUAUUCAUAACGGCCAAAACGUAGCAACAACCCAAAUGCCUAUCAACUGACUAAUGGAUAUAUAAUAUGUGCUAUAGCCAUACAAUGGAAUAUCAUUUGGCAAUAAAUAGAGAUUAAGUACUGAUAUAUACUACAGUAUUUAUGAACCUUGAAAACAUUAUGCUAAGUGAAAGAAGCCAGGAGGACCCAGUGUAAGAUUUCACUUAUAAGAAAUGUCCAGAAUAGGCAAAGCUAUAGAAAGAGAAAGAAGAUUAAUGGUGCGUGGAGCCGGGCGAAGCAGUGGGGAUUUAGGAAUGAGGGCUAUGAGGGGUAGGAUUUCUUUUAGGGGUUGUGGAAAUGUUCUAAAAUUGAUCAUAUUGAUGGAUGCACAAUACUGUGAAUACACCAAAAGCAAUUGAAUUGCACACUUCAAAUGGAUGAAUUGUACAGCAUACGAAGUAUAUCUCAAUAUAACUGUUUUUUUAAAAAAGAUGCAUAGUAUAUUGCAGGAUCACUCAAAAACCACCUGGUGUGUACAGGGAGGGGCCCACGAGCCAGCCAGGCCCCUCAGCAUCUUCCCAGGGGAACUUGGCUCUGUCUGCAUACAUGAUGUAAAAGGUGACCAGGGAGCAGCAAAGCCAAGAGCUGAGGAGUAGAAUUCUUGCAGCUGCAGCUGCUCAGAAAUCCCCAUUCAGGGCUUUACUGGCAAGGUACACCUUGGUUAAAAUCUCAUCAUGUCAUUUGUAUGGUCAGAAUGAUGUUGAGACUGGUUAAUAUUUUGACUAAAAAAAUAACAAUGGUGAGAAAAUGAGAAAAGAGAAGGUGGGGUAUAAAGGGAGCUAAAUCCGCAUCUAUCCCAACCAGAAAUCAAUCAAUAACAGUUAAUGUUAGUAAGUUGAGCAAUAGGAGUGGAAGCAUCUCAUUUAGACAUGUAGAAGUAGCUGCCUAGUGGAUCAGCUAGAGGUAUUUAAUGUGGCUGCCUCUGAGAAGGGGCCAUAUGGAGACAGAUAGGGGAGGAGAGGGCUAUAUUUUACUUUGAGAUUUUUAAGUGCUAUUUUUUUUUAAGUAUUAAAUUGAACCAUAUGAAAUUGCCAUUUUCAUAGGUGCAAAAUGGUUGAAGAUAGGCAAUUCCAUAUGAUUCAAACUUAUAUCUGAAUGCAUUUAUUUUGGUUGCAUAUUUUGAAAAAUAAUAAAGCCUAUUGGAUAAAAGAUAUCUGUAUUAUUCUGUUCCCAUGCUGCCAAUAAAGACAUACCAGAGACCAGGUAAUUUAAAAAAGAAAGAGGUUUAAUUGACUCACAAUUCAUCAUGACUGGGGAGGCCGCAGGAAACUUACAAUUAUGGUGGAAGAGGAAGCCAACAGUACCAAGGUGCUGGAGGUGGAGGCUGUCAGCCACCUGCACUCCACGCAGCUGCGUGGCUAGCUCCUUCUUGAAGGUUCAUCCGAGCUGUGCAUCUCCACAUUUGACCAUAUUUGUUGGGUAGUUACCUGCUCCAAGCAGUUUCCAUCUCCUCACUCAUUAAUUUUCAAGAUGAUUCUGCAAGGUAAGAUAGGAGACAGAGGCAUGGUGAAAUCCAUGAGUAAAUUAUCUUGCCCAAGACGAGACCGUGAGUAGCAGACUCCAUUCAGGGCCAGACAGGAGAUCUGACUCCCAUGUCCGAGCUCUGAAUUUCCACACUACCCCAUGUUACAGUGGAUGUAUUGUUUUAGGCAUGGAAGACAGUCUGGAGACACAUCCACCAGACUCUCACGGUGGCCUAUCUCAGGGUGAAGGUGAAGAUUUGAGAGAUACCUUUCACGUGGCAGAUUUUGAUCUAAUUUAUAUCUUAUUGUACAACAAGAAUUGUUAGCUUUGUAAUAAUAAACAAUAUAAAGUGACUGUGGAAAAAACAGAAAGGUUCCAAGCUUGACAAUCUGCCUGUUGUGGGCUACAGGUGCUGUCAGGUAUAAUGGGGACAGAAGAGAAGGUACCUGAGUCCUUUGUUAUUGUUGGGAGUCCUGUGGGUGCCUGGGGACCAAGACUGGUGGAAGGUGAGCAGGUGAGGCUGUUACUGUCCACUUUCUACUCCAUUUCCACCGCUAAGUGCUUUGAGCAAGGUUGGUGUUGUGUCCCUCCUCAACGUGGUGUUUUUUUGUUUAGUUUUGUUUUUUGUUUUUUGAGACAAAGUCUCACUGUGUCACCCAAGCUGAAGUGAAGUGGCACAAUCAUAUCUUACUGCAGCCUCCAAUUCCUGGGCUCAAGUGAUUCUCCCGCCUCAGCCUCCCAAGUAGCUAGGACUACAGGCAUGCACUGUCACGCCCGGCUAAUUGAAAAAAAAGAAAUUUAGAGAUGGGAUCUUGCUAUGUUGCUCAGGAUGGUCUUGAACUCCUGGCCUCAAACAAUCCUUUCCCCUCAGCUUCCUGAGGAUGUGUAAUUAUGACUCGUGUCAAUGUGUCAGCAACCCCCAAAUUCAUACAGUGAAGCCCUAAACCCCAGUAUCUCAGAAUGUAAAUGUAUUUGGAGACAGGGUGUUUAAAUAAGUGAGGAAGGUAAAAUGAGGUCACUGGGGUGGGCCUUAAUCCGGUAUAACUGGUGUCCUUACAAGAAGAGGAAAUCUGGGCACACACGUGUACAGAGGGCAGAUGAUGUGAAGAUGCAGGAAGAUGAGAGCCAUCUACAAGCGAAGCAGGGAGGCCGCAGAAGGAACCAACCCUGCUGGCAUCUUGAUCUUGUACUUCCAGCCUCCAGUACGGGGAGAAAAUAAAUUCCUGUUGUUCAAGCCUUUCCAUCUGUGGAUCUCUGGUACCUCAUAGGCACCCCGAGCAGACUAGAAAAGUUGGUUAGGAUCAGAAAUGAAAUGAAAAUGAAGCAGCCACCAUGGCUUGCCUGGUACCCUCUUGCCUCAUUCCAGCUCCUGGCUGUUCAAGUGCCACUCUUCAGCUUGGAAAUGGGAGAAAACCUUGGAUCAGAAAACCUGGAGCCAGACAGACCUGGAUUUAAAGCCCAGCUUUGCUGUUGUCCUUAUAGGAGGAGGAAGUUUGAACACAAAGGAGAGACACCAAGGGCAUCUAUCUGCAGAGGAAAGAUCAUAUGAAGAGACUGUGAGAAGAUGGCCGUCUGCAAGCCCAAGAGAGAGCCCUCAGAAAUAACCCUACCAACACCUUGAUCUUGGACUUUCUGCCUCCAGAACUGUGAGAAAAUAAAUCUCUGUUGUUUAAGCCACACAGUUUGUGGUAUUUUGUGGUGCUGGCCUGAGCAGACUUUAAUAUACUUUCCAUGGUGGGCAGCCUGCAUCAGGUAGAGUUUGAUCAGGGAAGCAGAAGCACUGAGUGUGAUAUUAAGGCACAUUUAAUAGGAAUUAGACCCCGUGUAAUGUAGGAGCUGGUGGAGGCAUCUGUGGAAGGCUGCUACCUCUGCGUCUAGAAGUGGGGGAAUUGUAUGUUGCCACAGGUCAGCAGGACUGACAGUGGUUAAGAUGUGAAAUGGGGCAAACAAGAGCAAACUGGAGUCUGUGAGAACAAAUUGGGACCCACAGAUAAUGGAAGACCCAUGUUUGCCUCUCACUGCCUCCCACCCCCACAGCAGGGGUGACCUGCAGAAGGACCUGACUCUCUCCUCUGCAGGGCUGCAUGAUCACCUGGCCCAGGACUUUGAGAAGCUGGAGAAGGAGAAGUGGUAGGAGGCAGAGGAACUACAGGCCAGCCUGCUGCACACCCCCCAGGGAAGCCGGGAGGCCUGUGACGAAUAUGCAUGAGCUAUGACAGCACCUGCUCCCCUGCAUUGACCUUCACAGCAUGGUGGCUGCCACCUCCCUCCUCCUUCCCAAACUUCCCACAAAUCUCCCUUCUGGCUACCCCCAGCCCAGGACUCUACAGGGAUGGGAAUUGUAGGAAACCUAAUUCCAGCUGGCUAGGUGGCCCACACUGUCCUCAAGCUCAGGACACUCAUUUUCUUUCCAUGUACAAGGGCUCACCAGAUCCAUCCAAUCAGGCCUAAUGGAUCAUCUUCAAAUAAGCAAGGUUUUGCAUUUCUGUAAUGAGUUAUAGCUUCAGAUUUCAAAAUCCUAAGCCAUCUUCUGCAUCAUUCUCCUAAGGAGGGCAUUUUAUUCCUCUGUCAUCUUCACUGCAGGCUCAGCUUUCAUGAUUAGAGAAAAGCAGGGAAGGAGAGGCCCACUUUGCUUCCUAGGGCAGCUUGCUUCCAUGUUUCAGUAGCUCCUAGGUAGUUAUAUCCCCAUUGUGUAUCUUAGAGAUGUUAUGAUUCUCAUUUUACCAGGACAGCAAAUGGAGUCCAGCAAAGUUGAAUGUCAUACAAAGUCAUGGUUAUAAGGGAUGCUUUAUGAAUUUGAAUAUGAAUCAGCAAGGGAUGUUUCUGAUUUUUUAAGGCUCCAUUUUAUCUCAGUAUUUUGGGACUUCAGCUUUGUGAAGUUGAGUUCAUCAUAUUCCUCAAGUCGCCACACAUAUUAUCAGUAGUUCAUGCAAUUCCUUUAUCAUUUUUUAUUUUUAUGAUUAAUUUCCCCCUUUUAUAUUUUAUUUCUUACCCCCAUUUCUCUACGGUAGGCCCUACUCCAAAAGGCUACACAUAUCAAUUCACAGAUACCUACGAAAUCUUGAGGUAUAUAUAGACAGAUAAAUAUACAUAUCUAUUUAUAGAAAACGUAAUUUUGUAUGUGAUACAGUAUAUUUAACAUUUAUAAAGUACAUGAUUGACUGUGUAUCUAGAAGUCUUACCAAAUUCCCUAUUAGUUCUAAAAGUUUGUCUCUUGAUUCUCUUGAGUUUUCUAUGAAGACAAACAUAUUGAGGUUUUAAAAAUUAUUUUUAUUCAAAUUUCUCUUUUAGAUUUAAAACAUUCUUAGCAUAAAGAUGAGGCCUCACUAUAUUGCCCAGGCUGGUCUUGAACUUCUGGUCUCAAGUGAUCCUCCCACCUCAGCCUCCCAAAGUGCUGGGAUUACAGGCAUGAACCACCACACCUGGUCAAACAUAUUAUUUUAUUUUAGACAUACUGAUUUAUUUUUCUUUCCUUCUUCACCAGGCUGAACAGUAAUAGUGAGAGAGAGAACUCCAGUUUUCCCAAUCUUUAAUGGUAUGUAGGAACCCUUUAGGUACUGGUAAUAUUCUACAACAUGAUCUGGGUGUCAGUUACAUGGAUAUAUGCAUAUCCAGGAAAUUCACCAACCUGUAUACUUAAGAUUUAAGCACCUUGCUGUAUGUAUGUUACACUUCAGUGCAAAUAAAGAUAGAAAAUGUUCCCAACUGCUACUUGGACUUUGUCCCAUGAAAUUUAAUGGGUAAUAAUUUCAUCAUUAUUCAGUUCCAAUAUUUCAUAAUUUUCUUUAUGAGUUUUUUUCUUCUAUUAUCUAAUAUAUAAAUCUGUGGUUCUUUUGUC
Molecule: long non-coding RNA, 7145 nt
Filed under: Homo sapiens (human)
Lineage: Eukaryota; Metazoa; Chordata; Mammalia; Primates; Hominidae
Description: HSALNT0195281
Source: RNAcentral